GGAACAAAAUGUCAAAUGUUUGGAAUAUAAUCAAAUGUUUUUUUCUCUGUGGUUGGAGAAAGAAUAACAGAAUGAGACCAGCGAAUGAAAUUGAAAUGUAUGACAGACAACAAGCAGCAAAUGAUGAAGAGCAAUCACCACCACCACCACCACCACCACCACCACCACCCUCACCACCGCCCUCACCACCACCACCACCUGCCAAUGGCAUCAUAAACCCAGUGGCUUUAUAAACACAUGGUUAGAGAGUUGAUGAUGAAAAGUUUGAACCAAUUGUAAUAGUGUAUCCAUGCAUCAUAGAGAACAAGCUAGGAUAUAUAGUAAUAUGAUUUAAUUAGUACUGAAUGAACAUACUUAAUAAUGCAAUGAAUACACUUGAGCGUUUUGACACAAAAACAUGGUUAACCAAUGUACCCACGUGCAGGCAUGCACGUGACUCUGAAUAGAGAAAAUUACUCAAUUAAUUUAUGAGCAAAUUUACUUAAUUUUUUUGAGUGGAUUAAAUGCAUCCAUACACUGACUGGCGCUGACUCAAAAUUUUGAACGAUUCAUGAAAGUGACUCAACUAUAUUUGAGUAAAUCAACAAUUGUCAAUGCACUCAAAUUGUGAGUAUAAAAUAUUCUAAAAUUUUGGGUCAAGUAAAUAUACCCAUGCAGUGAAUCAAUUCUUUUAAUAAAAGUUUGGACGUACUUUUAUGCAGUGGAAUCAUAAUUUUUAGAGCACAUAAAUUUUGAUAAAAACAUGUAAUGAAGUAAUAGUAAGAUUUAGGGUACAAUUUUAUUAAUUAGAACAUUAAUUUUGAUGAAGUGAAGAACAGAAU
Paramuricea clavata is the source of this 821-nucleotide non-coding RNA. The record is from the annotation of a GenBank genome assembly. NCBI's taxonomy places the organism in Eukaryota, Metazoa, Cnidaria, Anthozoa, Malacalcyonacea, Plexauridae.